GACGAACGCUGGCGGCGUGGAUUAGGCAUGCAAGUCGAACGGUAUCAUCCUUUCGGGGGUGAGAGAGUGGCGAACUGGUGAGUAACACGUAGGUUAUCUACCCUCAAGACGGGGACAACCCAGGGAAACUUGGGCUAAUACCGGAUGUGAGCAACUUUUAGUUGUUUGAAAGGUGGCGUAAGCUGUCGCUUGGGGAUGAGCCUGCGUCCUAUUAGUUAGUUGGUGAGGUAACGGCUCACCUAGGCAAUGAUAGGUAGGCGGCCUUAACGGGUGGUCGCCCACACUGGGAUUGAGAUACGGCCCAGACUCCUACGGGAGGCAGCAGUCGAGAAUAGUCUACAAUGGUCGGAAGACUGAUAGUGCGACGCCGCGUGAACGAUGAAUCCCUUCGGGGUGUAAAGUUCUUUUAUAUGUGAGCAGUGCUUCUUAUAUUAACAGUAUGGGGAGAGAGAUAUUAGCAUAUGAAUAAGCAACGGCUAACUCCGUGCCAGCAGCCGCGGUAAAUAC
Molecule: ribosomal RNA, 507 nt
Filed under: uncultured bacterium
Lineage: Bacteria
Description: bacterial SSU rRNA
Rfam family: Bacterial small subunit ribosomal RNA
Source: RNAcentral